Molecule: non-coding RNA, 2625 nt
Organism: Triticum urartu
Lineage: Eukaryota; Viridiplantae; Streptophyta; Magnoliopsida; Poales; Poaceae
Source: RefSeq, a predicted model, not a curated record
AUGGUCCUCUCCGUCCACGAAUCAUCACCAGGCCAAGCCGGCAACACGGUACCUCUUCUUCUGGGAGGAAUUCCCUCGAACACCCCGUGCGCGCAUCCCGCGCGACCUCUGUCCGAUCGAAUGGCGGUAACGAACUGAGCUAGGAGGGAGUACGUGGCUCCAAUGGCGUCUCUCCCCCCCUUAUCCGCCGCCGCCGCCUCUCUCCUGCGGCACCACGUCUGCUUCAGGCACCCCACCCCUUCCCGGAGCUGCUUCGCUAACAGUGAGAGUUAUGGAUGCUGCGGCGGAGUGCCUGAUGCCGGGCGUUACGCGAGGCUGCGGCUGCGGUGGAGGAGCCCGGUACGUGCCAAGGUCGGCGAGGUGGAGAAGGACAAGGGCGCCGAUUUGGGGCUCCGAACGGACCAGCCCAAGAGCCUGCGGCGGCGCCUGCGGCUCAGGCCGCGGCUGCGCGUGCUGCGGUGGCGUCUCCUGCGGCUGCUGUCGCCGCGGGAGCUCGCGGGCGACGCCGCGGCGGCGCUGCGGCGGGCCAUCCGUCGCGUGCCGCCUCCCGCGGUCGCGUCGGUCGUCCUGGGGGCUCUCCUGCUCGCCGCGCGGCUCACGCUGCCCAAAAACCCGGCCCAGGAGGUGGCCUACGCGGACCUCCUGGCGGGGCUGCGCGCGGGCGCCGUGACCGCCGUCGCCUUCGAGGAGGACUCGCGCCGCAUCUACUUCAGCAAGGCCGAGGACGCCGGCAGCGGCGACGACGAGCGCGAGACCGGCAGGGGCGCCGCCGUGCCGAAGUGGCCGUACUACGCGAGGAGGGUGCCGCACGACGAGGGGUUCCUGCUUGGGCUGAUGCGGGAGGGCGGGGUGGACUACCGGUCUGCUCCACGGCCGGCGGGGAGGCUGCUGGUGGACAUGCUGACCACGCUGCUCACGCUGUGGUUCUCACUGCUGCCGAUGAUGUGGUUCUUACAGAGGCAGAUGUCGUCUGGGGGCAGUGCGGACAAGCGCCGACGGCCCAGGAAGCAGCAGGUAGGAUUUGAUGAUGUCCAGGGCGUGGAUGAAGCCAAGGAGGAGCUUGUCGAGAUAGUGAGCUGCUUGCGUGGUUCACUGAACUACAAGAAGCUGGGAGCAAGAUUACCCAGGGGUGUUCUACUUGCUGGCCCUCCUGGAACCGGGAAAACUUUGCUGGCGAAGGCAGUUGCAGGAGAGGCUGGAAUUCCAUUCUUCUCUGUUUCUGCUAGCGAAUUUGUUGAAAUGUUUGUUGGAAGAGGAGCAGCCCGCGUGAGGGAAUUAUUCAAGGAAGCCAAAGAAGCUGCUCCGUCAAUCAUUUUUAUUGACGAACUUGAUGCUGUUGGUGGAAGCAGAGGUAGAAGUUUUAAUGAUGAGAGGGACCAAACCCUAAAUCAGCUGCUUACUGAAAUGGAUGGUUUUGACUCGGACGUGAAAGUUAUUGUCAUGGCUGCUACUAAUAGACCUAAGGCUCUGGAUUCUGCUCUUUGUCGGCCUGGUCGCUUCUCAAGAAAGGUUUUUGUUGGUGUGCCUGAUUUGGAAGGCCGCAGAAAGAUUUUGGCUGUUCAUCUCAGGAAAGUUCCUUUAGAAGAGGAAUCCGAAAUAAUUUGUGAUCUGGUAGCUAAUGUGACCCCAGGAUUGGUUGGUGCAGAUCUAGCAAACAUUGUUAAUGAGGCUGCUCUACUAGCUGCUCGAAGAGGUGGUGAUAUUGUGGCUCGGGAGGAUAUAAUGGAUGCCAUUGAGAGGGAAAAGUAUGGAGUCAAUGGUAGACAAAAGGGUCCUGAUUCUGCAAGAGAAGGCCUUACCAAGUUAUUUCCAUGGUUACCUAAACCUGGAAAUAAACCAUCAAAUCCAGAUGAUUUUCAAGGACUUAUGGGUUAUCAUACGUUAAGCUAACUGGGGUUUUUCAAGGUUAUCAUGGCCCAUGCAUGGAGCCCGCACAAUAAUUGCCAUCCUGGUAACGGACUUAGCGGCCUAGACGGGAGGUGCAACGUUCUGGUGACGGGUUUCCAUGAUCCACAGAGGAGAUAAGCAUCAACUGACAUGGUAUCAAAAUCGUCCAUGAACUAGGGGACCUGCUGGGUACAAUUGCAAGGCAGCAAAAUAUACAAUUCAAGUCUAUUUGUGAAGGAGACUGCACUCUGCACCCAGUGGGGCGGCGGACUGGUGCAUUAUUCGGUGAAUUUUGAUGCGACUCGACCAGCAGAAAACUGUUACAGAUGAUAAUAGAUUAGCAUGUGAAUUUGCAAUACACGCUCCAUGAAUUUGACCAGUGACUCGGAUCAAUUUUACGCGCCGUAAUAUUGAUACAGGCACUUAAACCUGGUGUUGUUCCAUAGCUCACAAUGUCUAAUAGAAUAGUCUGCAUUAGUUUACAAGAUAGGGUCACACCAAUUCUGCUGUACAUGAACUUGCCAUUUGGUUCACUUUGUACCAUCUAGUAGUUCCACUGCAAUUGGAUCCACAACAAUGUGUAUUAGGAUCGCAAGAUAGAAGUGCUCAGCAGAUCAGCCAGUCUUUAUGCCGUGCCGCAUUUCUGGUUAUGUCAUUCACAUCUUCCUUUUCUCUGUAAAUUGACUGUUGUGGAUAGAUUUGUUAGCUCUCAAAUAUGAUAAUUUCCAAUUUAUUGUA